Molecule: transfer RNA, 69 nt
Filed under: Ictidomys tridecemlineatus (thirteen-lined ground squirrel)
Lineage: Eukaryota; Metazoa; Chordata; Mammalia; Rodentia; Sciuridae
Description: Spermophilus tridecemlineatus (thirteen-lined ground squirrel) tRNA
Rfam family: tRNA
About the family: Transfer RNA (tRNA) molecules are approximately 80 nucleotides in length. Their secondary structure includes four short double-helical elements and three loops (D, anti-codon, and T loops).
Source: Rfam by way of RNAcentral
GGGGUUGUGGCUCAGUGGUAGAGCACUUGCCUAGCAUGUGCAAGGCCAUGGGUUCAAACCUCAGCACCA